RNAcentral lists this unclassified non-coding RNA (373 nucleotides) under fungal sp. Its description in RNAcentral is "partial internal transcribed spacer region". The stretch from base 1 to 46 matches the Rfam family "Eukaryotic small subunit ribosomal RNA", at positions 1786 to 1831 of the family's 1831-position model. RNAcentral also lists the same sequence under 1 other name. Lineage: Eukaryota; Fungi. The record is from RNAcentral.
AAGUCGUAACAAGGUAACCGUAGGUGAACCUGCGGUUGGAUCAUUAAAAAGAUUUAGUUUGGGAAUGGAAAAUCUUAAUGAUUGCCAUUUCACUCAAACCCUUGCACUAUGCAAGGAAUGCGAGUCACCUUGAUGUGCACUGUGAAUGUCUUUGGCAGGGGAUGAAGCCAGUUUGUGGAGGACAAGGUCUUCCGGGAUCUGGUCUUUAUCCGUCAGUCUGGGUCACAAGCCGAGGCCGUGGACAACCUGCCAACCACUAGAAAACAAAACACAUUUUUCCUUUGUUUUUUGAAUCUGAUUUUUGUCAUGCCAUUACUUUGGCAUGGCAAUGAAAAAAUUGAAACAACUUUUGGCAAUGGAUCUCUUGGCUCUC